GGGGGGAGUGCCGGAUCUAGGACUGUGUUUCCUAGUGCCCUGUGCUCCAGGGCCUGCACCACUGGAAUCACGCUCCUGGGGCCAGCAGCCCGCU
RNAcentral lists this microRNA precursor (94 nucleotides) under Canis lupus dingo (dingo). RNAcentral describes it as "mir-8799 microRNA precursor family". It matches the Rfam family "mir-8799 microRNA precursor family". Lineage: Eukaryota; Metazoa; Chordata; Mammalia; Carnivora; Canidae. The record is from Rfam by way of RNAcentral.